This 497-nucleotide ribosomal RNA is filed under the name uncultured bacterium. RNAcentral's name for it is "partial 16S ribosomal RNA". It matches the Rfam family "Bacterial small subunit ribosomal RNA", at positions 28 to 507 of the family's 1533-position model. The record is from RNAcentral.
GACGAACGCUGGCGGCGUGCUUAAUACAUGCAAGUCGAGCGAACAGACGACGAUCUUGCUCCUCUGACGUUAGACGCGGGCGGGAGAGUAACACGUGGUUAACCUACCUAUAAGAUUGGGAUAACUUACGGAAACCGGUACUAAUAACGGAUACUUUCUUGAACCGCGUGGUUGGAUAGUGAAAGCCGGUUUUGCUGUACCUUCUACAUGGAUCCGUGCGGCAUUAGCGAGUUGGUAAGGUAACGGCUUACCGAGGCAAGCAUGCGUAGCCGACCUGAGAGGGUGUACGGCGACACAGGGAGUGAGACGCGACACAGAGUCCGACGGGAGGCAGCAGCAGGGAAGGGACCGAAAUGGGCGAAAGCCUGACGGAGCGGCGCAGCGUGAGUGAUGAAGGUCUGCGGGUCGGAUGACGGUGUUAGGAGGGAAGAACGAAUGUGUAAGUAGCGAUGCACGUCUUGACGGUACCUGAACAGAAAGCCACGGCUAACUACGUG